CAUGCCCCGCUGGAGGAGAUGCUAACCUGCUCCCUGCCGGCUGAGGCCGAGGCCUCGGGGACCUCUCUGGCCCCUGGUACUCAAAGCCUGCCUGUUAGGGAUUCUGCGGGGUGUGUGCCCAGGCGUGUGAGGGAAAGCACGAGAGCCCCAGAGGGAAACCAGCGUUACGCUUGCACUUGCACGUUCCAAUCCCCAAAGGGUGUGAUUCAUCCCAAACGCGAGCUGAAAACCUUACUAAUUUCACCUUCCUGUCCAAACUGCCUCCUUUUCCAGACUUCUGCCCCUUCUACAUUCCGACGACAACCGACAUCGUGUUUUCUGCAAAAAGAAAAGCAAGCUGACUGCCAACCAUGGAGGGAAAGUUCUGGAAAGUGGAUUGCGAACCUCUAAGAGAUUUUCUAAAGUACUCAAAAGGUCAGUGAAUAUGAAAAUAUAGAAGUCCCUAGUGAUUUUUGUGAGAAGAGUUUCAGUGACGUAUCGGAGGGAGAAGCCAGACAGCAAGAGAUGAGCGGCCACGGGGACGAUGGAGAAAACCAAGGCACUGGCAACACACUAUGAACUUGAAAGGAGUGACGCAGGCAGAGAAGUGGGGCAAUUACUAGAAAGGGAAACGCGGAGACACUGUGCAUUUCUCAAUGCGAGAACUCCAGAGAUGAAUAAAGCUUGAAAAGGACAAAAGAAAAACGUGUAAAAAUGGCAUUUGGAGAUUCUGCUUGAACCCUGUCUACUUAACCACCACAGAAUCUGUUGAAGGAUCAACUAGCUUUCGGAGGUUACAUUUUUACCUGGAUAUAUCUCACAAAAAAAUGGAAACAAGUCAGAGUCAUGCAAAUAUGAGAAGGCUGCCCAAGAAUACAAGGACUCAAAGAGGGUUAAGGAAAAGAUGAAUAUGGAGCAGAGACCAUAUAUGGCCUACAAGGCCCCAGAUACUCACAAUCAAGAGACUCUUUACAGAAAAAGUUUGCUAACCCCUAGUCUAUGCUAACCACAGCAACCCUUCUGCCAGUCUAGUUUUGAGGGUGAACAAGUAACAGCUUUUGGCUCCAGGUUUGAAAUCUGAGAGGAAGUCUGCUGGGACCUACUGGAAAGCUUUUCCUUCCUGAUUAAUAUAAUAAUAAUAGGACCCGGGGGGAAAAUGCCCCCUUGUCUUCCUGCCUUUUGAUGUCGCCAUGUUGCAUCAUAAUAGCCAUCCUUUGACCAGAAAGAAAAAGUCAAGAGAAUCAAGACUCAAAGGGAUAUCAUUUAAAGCCAGAGCAUGGUGAAAUGACUGAAUCGGCCAACCCUGGGAUGGUACAUUUGCAAUAUCUUCAUAGAGGGGAAUGAAGCUCUGGUUUACUUUCCUCUUUUGGAAGGAAGAUGGAAGGGAAACACGUGCGAACCUACUGCUACCUAGAAUUAAAACUUGCAUAGGAGACAAGCAAGGGCUUUAGUGACUCGAUGAUAUGCAUUUGCUGAGUAAGAAACAAGGAGGUUAAGUAAUUUGCCUAAAGCUACACAGCUAAUAUGGGGAAGAGCCAGGAUUUGAACUCAGGUCGCCGGACUCCACAAUCCUUGUUCUUGAUCAUGGGAAGAGGAGGAAAAAACAGUCUCCCUUAUAAUUUUUCACCACUGUCAUCAAAGGAUUGGCAAUGGCCCUUUCAAAGCCUGUAAGCUGGGAGGGCUGGUCCCCGCCCUCGACCUUGGCAAGGGGUGCAUGCAGAUCACCUGCAACCGUGCCACCCAGCCAGCCCUACCGCACCUACUACCACCUCGGGUGUCAAGGGACGCCUGCUUUGAGCAACUUCCCCAUGUGGAAAAGCCACAAACCCCAAUGACAGAAGAAACCAGAGGCAAAGAAAAAAAAAAAAGGAAAGGAAGCACCUCCACGGCCAGCAAUGAAAACAAACGCUCUGAGCAAGGCUGCAGCGAGCCAAGAGGAGACGCACCACCAGGAGGACAUCCGGCCCACGAACAGUCUGUCCACUGACCAGAAGGAAGGAGCCCUCUGGUUACCUGGGGCGGCUAAAGAAGCAAACCACAGGGGCCCGGAGCAAAGAUGUGGCUGAAGAGAAAAGCAAAAGCAAAAGAUAAUGGCAAAUGAAAAGAGUGAAAAGAGCCUUGGCCGCAGUGGUGGCCGCAGCUGGGAGUGGGGCCAGGAUGGUGACACUGCCUGUGGCAAGGCCCCAGGCCAGCAAAGGGGGGGGGGGGUGGACACUACCCAGGAGUCACCCACCAGGGCUGCGAACACAGACCUUAGCAACCCCUCGUGGGCUUUCCACGCACGUGCUCGUGCUUCUGAAUAAAAACAUUGACCGGGGCGCCUGGGUGGCUCAGCGGUUGAGCGUCUGCCUUUGGCUCAGGGCGUGAUCCCGGGGUCCUGGGAUCGAAUCCCGCAU
RNA transcript from Canis lupus familiaris (dog), 2375 nucleotides. RefSeq lists it as uncharacterized. The transcript is spliced from 6 exons. Lineage: Eukaryota; Metazoa; Chordata; Mammalia; Carnivora; Canidae. The record is from RefSeq and is a predicted model, not a curated record.